UUGAACGCUGGCGGCAGGCCUCACACAUGCAAGUCGAGCGGAUGAAGGGAGCUUGCUCCUGGCUUCAGCGGCGGACGGGUGAGUAAUGCCUAGGAAUCUGCCUGGUAGUGGGGGAUAACGUCCGGAAACGGGCGCUAAUACCGCAUACGUCCUGAGGGAGAAAGUGGGGGAUCUUCGGACCUCACGCUAUCAGAUGAGCCUAGGUCGGAUUAGCUAGUUGGUGGGGUAAAGGCCUACCAAGGCGACGAUCCGUAACUGGUCUGAGAGGAUGAUCAGUCACACUGGAACUGAGACACGGUCCAGACUCCUACGGGAGGCAGCAGUGGGGAAUAUUGGACAAUGGGCGAAAGCCUGAUCCAGCCAUGCCGCGUGUGUGAAGAAGGUCUUCGGAUUGUAAAGCACUUUAAGUUGGGAGGAAGGGCAGUAAGUUAAUACCUUGCUGUUUUGACGUUACCAACAGAAUAAGCACCGGCUAGCUUCGUG
This 483-nucleotide ribosomal RNA is filed under the name uncultured bacterium. RNAcentral describes it as "partial 16S ribosomal RNA". It matches the Rfam family "Bacterial small subunit ribosomal RNA", at positions 30 to 507 of the family's 1533-position model. The record is from RNAcentral.